CACCGUUCUACUUUCUACUUCAGUGAUUUUGACAGAGCAGGAAAGUAAAUCUGAUCCAUGCCGCUCCAUGUUGGCUGGAAGUAGUAUCCCCCUCACUGGCAGCUAAUGACUCUUCACAACUCAAUUCAAGCAUCACCUCCUCAGGAAAGGGUCCUUAUACACAUAACUAAGUUCAGGAGCUUGAGAUGUGGAGACCAUCCUGGAUGAUUCAGGUGGACCUAAAUGCAAUGACUAGUGUCUUCAUGAGACACAGAGGAGAGGAGGAGGCAGAGAGUGGAGCAAUGUGACCACAGGCCACAGACAACCUGCAGUGGCCGGAAGCUGGAGGAAGCAAAAACAGAUUGUUCCCUAGACCCUUUGGAGAAAGCGUGUCCCCACUGUCACCUUAAUUCCAGACUUCUG
Molecule: long non-coding RNA, 402 nt
Filed under: Mustela putorius furo (domestic ferret)
Lineage: Eukaryota; Metazoa; Chordata; Mammalia; Carnivora; Mustelidae
Description: lncRNA (ENSMPUG00000031761.1)
Source: RNAcentral